RNAcentral lists this ribosomal RNA (396 nucleotides) under Terebra funiculata. RNAcentral describes it as "partial 16S ribosomal RNA". It matches the Rfam family "Bacterial large subunit ribosomal RNA", at positions 1968 to 2597 of the family's 2925-position model. Lineage: Eukaryota; Metazoa; Mollusca; Gastropoda; Neogastropoda; Terebridae. The record is from RNAcentral.
UUUGACUUAUAAUUGAAGGCUGGUAUGAAUGGUUUGACAAGAAUAAAGCUGUCUCUUUNUAANUUGAUAGAACUUUAUCUUUAGGUGAAAAAGCCUUAAUUUGAUUAAUAGACAAGAAGACCCUAUCGAGCUUUAGAUAACCUAGUAGGUUAAAAUCUUAUCAGUUGAAAGGAUAAACUACUAGAUACUUUGGUUGGGGCGACUGAGGAACAUGAAAAGCUUCCUAUACAUACGUAUUGAUCCAUGAUUAAAGGAAUUAGUUACCGUAGGGAUAACAGCAUUAUCUUUUUUGAGAGUUCUUAUCGAAAAAAAGGUUUGUGACCUCGAUGUUGGACCAGAAUGUCCUAAAGAUGCAGAAGUCUUUAAGGGUUGGUCUGUUCGACCAUUUANAAUUCU